Molecule: ribosomal RNA, 422 nt
Filed under: uncultured bacterium
Lineage: Bacteria
Description: partial 16S ribosomal RNA
Rfam family: Bacterial small subunit ribosomal RNA
Source: RNAcentral
GACUUUUGGACAAUGGGGGCAACCCUGAUCCAGCCAUACCGCGUGUGCGAUGAAGGCCUUCGGGUUGUAAAGCACUUUUGGCAGGGAAGAAAAGGCUCUGGCUAAUACCUGGAGCUGCUGCAGGUACCUGCCGAAAAAGCACCGGCACACUACUUGCCCGCAGCCGCGGUAAUACGUAGGGUGCAAGCGGUCAGCGGAAUUACUGGGCGUAAAGCUGUCGCAGGCGGUUCGGCAAGAAGGAUGGGAAAUCCCAGGGCUUAACCUUGGAACUGCAUUCUUAACUGCCGGGCUAGAGGAUGUCAGAGGGGGGUAGAAUUCCGCGUGUAGCAGUGAACUGCGUAGAGAUGCGGAGGAAUACCGAUGGCGAAGGCAGCCCCCUGGGAUAAUACUGACGCUCAUGCACGAAAGCGUGGGGAGCAAAC